RNAcentral lists this ribosomal RNA (76 nucleotides) under Pseudomonas fragi. RNAcentral's name for it is "partial 16S ribosomal RNA". It matches the Rfam family "Bacterial small subunit ribosomal RNA", at positions 1460 to 1533 of the family's 1533-position model. RNAcentral also lists the same sequence under 2 other names. The record is from RNAcentral. Lineage: Bacteria; Pseudomonadati; Pseudomonadota; Gammaproteobacteria; Pseudomonadales; Pseudomonadaceae.
CGGUGUGAUUCAUGACUGGGGUGAAGUCGUAACAAGGUAGCCGUAGGGGAACCUGCGGCUGGAUCACCUCCUUAAU